GGCUGGAUUUUAGCUCAGUUGGUAGAGCACCGGAACAGCAAUCUGGAGGUCGCAGGUUCAAACCCCGCUCCAGUCA
Non-coding RNA from Patiria miniata (bat star), 76 nucleotides. NCBI's taxonomy places the organism in Eukaryota, Metazoa, Echinodermata, Asteroidea, Valvatida, Asterinidae. The record is from the annotation of a RefSeq genome assembly.